This 72-nucleotide microRNA precursor is filed under the name Medicago truncatula (barrel medic). Its description in RNAcentral is "MIR2629 microRNA precursor family". It matches the Rfam family "MIR2629 microRNA precursor family". Lineage: Eukaryota; Viridiplantae; Streptophyta; Magnoliopsida; Fabales; Fabaceae. The record is from Rfam by way of RNAcentral.
UACUGAGGUUUUCCUCGGCAGUUAACUGUAGCCGGUUUUUCAAUUUCUCGGCAGUUAACUGCCGAGGGGGCA